Molecule: unclassified non-coding RNA, 4552 nt
Filed under: Hevea brasiliensis (rubber tree)
Lineage: Eukaryota; Viridiplantae; Streptophyta; Magnoliopsida; Malpighiales; Euphorbiaceae
Source: RNAcentral
CCCUUAUCCCAUUUUAAAGUAUCAAGAGUUAUUAAGCAGCGUGGAAAAUCAAGACCAAUUAUUGACCUAUGGGACUUGACACCCUAAAUUAGCAUCAACUGAAAAACUUAAACAUACCAAGACCUAACCUCAAAAUCCACAUGAUAAAGUCUCUCACACACAAGACGCUUGUGUGGCCACUGACAGUGAGAUAAUGUGAAGGAAUAACUCAAUUUUGAGAUGAAAUUCUAAGGAGUCAGUAAUCUCGCGAAGGAAGGAAGCUACUUCCACUCUUGUAGCUGGAAAAGAACUUGGAAUAUUUUUCGAAUGAGAUGACAUUGGAUUCAUAGAUCAGUUUGCCAGACAUAUCUUUAGUGACCUUGUCCGUAAGAACUGCAAUGAACUUUCUUUAAUUAUUAUAUCUAUUGGGUGUUUUCCUUCUCAAUUGGUGCUCGAUUUGUUGUCUUUGGCUGUAUCUACUCUAUCUUUUAUGUCAAUAUAUUUUCACGCUUAACAUGGAACGCUAGGGGUGUAUGCGGUGCAAAUAAAAAAUCCCACCUUAAGAGCCUUGUUGGGAAAGUAUUCAGUUGAUGUUGUGGUGAAACAAAGAGUGAUUCUAUUUCUUUCUCUGAAAUAAGAGGUGUUUGGGGGAUGAGGAAUUUAGGUUGGACUUCUAUUCAAGCAGUAGGCCUUUCUGGGGGCCUUUUGGCAAUAUGGAACAAAGAAACUAUUGAUAUUACAAGAAGUUUAUGCUGUGAUAGGUGGAUAUUAUUACCCGGUUCCAUUUUAUCUUGUAACUAUGAGGUGUGGAUGGCAUUUUUAAACACUCCUUGUGAUAUCCAUGAACAACAACUGUUAUGGUUUGAAAUUUUGCAAGAACGAAGCUCCAUUGGUGGGAAUUUUUUGUUAAUGGGGGACUUCAAUCAGGUGUUACACAGGUCUGACUGAAGGAGUGGAAGGUUCUUUCAGGAGGGAAUGGCAAAUUUCAGAAAUUUCGUCAAUGCUUUGAAUCUGUUUGAUGUUGCAUUGUCAGGGAAGUUGUUCACUUGUAGAAACUCUCAAGCAGUGAGCAAAAUUGAUAGAGCUCUUGUUUCUUUUGAAUGACAAUCUCAAUUUCCUCAUCUUCUGCUUACUGCCUUACCUAGGGGGCCUUCCGAUCAUAAUCCCAUUAUGCUAACUACAAGUAAUCAAAAUUGGGGUCCAAAGCCGAUGAGAUUUGUAGAUGCUUGGUGGACAUGGCCUAAUUUAUUGUAAAAAAAUUUUUGGUUGGAAUGUGCUGGUACUACAUCUUUUCCGCAUAAGUCGAAACUUUUUGAGGCAAAAGCUCAAAGUAUGGAAUAAUGACAUGUUUGGCCAUUCAGGCAACAAGCUCUCUUCUUUGAAAUCCUCAUUGGAUAAUUUGGAAUCAGUGGCAGAACAAGAACCUCGACUUCAGAUGAGUUAACUCUCCAUCAAUUGAAAUCGGAGAUUCACUUAUGGACAGCUAGGGAAGAAAGCAUUUGGAGGCAAAAGUCACGAAUAUCAUGGUGUAUGUUGGGAGAUAAAAGUACAAGAUUCUUUCAUUUAUAGUGCAGUAAUCGAUGGCAGAAAAACAAAUUACAAGAAUUGUGGUUGAUGGUACUGCUUUCUUUUCGAAGAAUGCUAUCAGGCAAGCUGUGUUUGAACACUUUAAAUCUAGAUUCUACUAAUCCUACCAACACUCAUGCUCAGCGCCAAAUUUGAGGUAUCUUCAUCUGGAUCUUUUUGAGGCUUCUGCACUUGAGAUUCCUUUUUCUCCUCAGGAGAUUAAAUUUGCAAUAUGGGACUAUGACUCCUUUAAGGCACCUGGGCCUGAUGGUGCAAAUUUUCCAUUUUUUUUAUAAGAAAGCAUGGCCGCUCCUCAAAGAAGAGAUCUUUCAUAUACUAGGUGAGUUCCAUUGCUCCUCUGUACUACCUACGGCUGUGCAUUCAUCUUUAAUUGUAUUGGUUCCAAAAUCACUGGGGGCCUCAAAGCUAGAAGAUUACAGACCAAUCAACUUGAUUUAUGGUCUUUAUAAGAUUGUUCUGAAGAUUCUAGCCAAUAAAUUAAAAUCUAUCAUGCCAAAAAUUAUCCGUCCAUACCAGAGUGCCUUUGUCUCUGGACACCAAAUUUUGGAUAGUUUCCUCAUUGCUAAUGAGAAGGUGGACUUCCAUAGAAAAUUGAAAAUUGGCUGUUUUCUAUUCAAGGUGGAUUUCAAGAAAGCAUUUGAUAUGGUAAGGUGGGAUCAUCUACAAAAAAAACUAUGGAGUUCAGGUGGAUCUCUUGGAUUCGUUCUUAUGUUUCUCAUGCUAGGGUAUCUAUCCUAGUUAAUGGAAGACCUACUUCGGAGUUCAAUUUGUUGAAUGGGCUAAGACAAGGGGACUUAUUGCCCCCAUUUCUAUUCAUUAUAGCAAUUAAGCCUCUCAGUUUGUUGAUUCAGGAAGCUUGUUUAAGAGGUAGUGUAGAAGGGGUUUCUAUUGGUUCAGGUGGUAUGCUAAAGUUCAUUAGCAGUUUGCUAAUGAUAAGCUUUUCUUUUGCCCACCGAAGAUGGAAUAUAUUAUUAAUUUUGCCAGAAUUUUGCGUUGUUUUCAUGCUGUAAUAUUUAAGGGUAAAUUUCCAUUAAAGUGUUUUCUUUGGAAUUAAUUUAGAUGAAGAUUUUCUGAAUUCUGCAGCUUCAAUAGCAUGUUGCAAAGUUGGGUCCUACCUUGGCUUCCCUUUGGGGGCUAAUGUGAAGCAAAAAGCUACAUGGACUCCUGUACUUAAGAAAAUUGACAACAAACUCAACUUUUAGAAAGGGAAAAUUCUGUCUUUAUCUAGUCGAUUGACACUGAUCAAAUCAUGCUUAUCCAGGUUGUCAUUAUGUUAUUUAUCUGUUUCUAAUGUUCCGAAAGGUGUGGCUAAGAUGAUUGAAAAAAUGUUUAGAGAUUUCUUCUAGGUUGGUGGUGAUUUCAAAAAGAAGAUCCAUCUUGUGAGUUGGAGCACCCUCACAAAGCUUAAGGAAAAUGGAGGUUUGGGAAUUUCGAAUAUUCUCUUACAUAAUCCAGCUCUCCUUUUCAAAUGGCUGUGGCAUUUUCAAUCACAGCUUGAGGCACUUUGGGUUUCAGUACUUCGAUCAAGAUACCCUUUUUCUCUUGAUAAUGGUCUUCAAUUAACUAACAGGUGUUCUCUAUCCUCAGUGUGUAAGGAUAUCCAACACCCCGUUUCUUCAUCUAGUAGUAGCUUCUCAAUCAUGGAUAACUUAUGCUUUGCAGUUGGGAAUAGGGCUAAAACACUAUUCUGGCUUGAUAAGUGGAUCUCUGAUAUCCCACUGAAGUUCACUUUUGCCACCUUUUCAAUCUAUCUUGCACUCCUAAUGCUCUUGUUUAUGAGAUGGGGCGCUAGAUUGGUAAUGUUUGGGAAUGGAAUUUCUCUUGGAGACAGGCACUGUUCUCAUGGGAAGCCGAGUCUUUAGCACUUUUGAUGGGCCUUGUUCACUCUGUUAAUCUUUGUCAAUUUAGGAGUGAUAAGCUAUUAUGGAAGCUUACAACAAAUGGGAAAUUCUCGGUGAGUUCUCUAUAUAAGGGCUUAAUACAAUCCACCUCUUUGAGUAAUUAUAAUUGUGCUUUUGUGUGGCUAGGCUUAGCCCCUCCCAAAGAAAAAAUUCUAGUCUGGUUUGCUUGUCAUAAUAGGCUGUGUACUCGAGAUUGCUUGUAUUCUAUUAAUCUUAUUCCUUGCACUGAAGAUGUUUGCUUUCGAUGUUCAGCAGAAAAUGAAACGGUACCUCAUAUUUUUUUAAAGUGUCCAUUUGCUUGGCGCAUUUGGUAUUGGUUUCUAAGAUGGUGGGAGAUUCAGUUUUAUCUUCCAAAUUCUGUUAAUCUUCUUCUUGUUGAAUGGAAGUCUUUAGCUUUUGGUUGCUUUCAAAAAUGGUUUGGAAAUAAUCUUUUCUUUGCAAUCAUGUGGUCUAUCUGGUUAGAUAGAAAUGAAAAGAUAUUCAAUGGAUCUGAUACCUUUGUUGCUGAUGUGGUUGCGUUGGUGCUUCAUCGCAUUUCAAUUUGGAUGAAAGCAUAAGAUGUGAACUUUCCUUUCUCUGGUUUGGACCUAUUGGUGUCGUUUGCUUCAAUUAGAUGCUGGACCAAUCCUAUUAAAUCCCACCUACAACUGUUUUGGUCUGCUUCCCCUGCACAUGUUUGGAAAUGUAAUGUAUAUGGUUCUUCAUUAGGUAAACCUGGUAAAAGUGCAAUUGGUGGUAUAUUACGUGAUGUUAUUGGCAACUUUAUUUGUUUGUUUUCUUGCCCAACAGGCUUGGGAGACUCAAAUGUAGCAGAACUAAAAGCUAUUCAAAAGGCACUUGAGCUAUCCCUAUCUUUGGCAAAAAUUCAUAGUGGCUCUGUUUCUCUAAUUGUAGAAUCUAACACUUCAAAUGCAAUUGCAUGGGUGACUCAUUUGGAUUCAGCAACAUGUAAAUUCAAUUCUUUAAUUAACUCAAUAGUUCAACUCAUUAAUGUGCUUCCAAGUGUUUCUUUCAAACAUGUUCUUCAAGAAGCAAAUUAUGUGACCGAUAGUUUUGUAAGCAGGGUCUUAAUCGUGGUACAGAUU